AUUGAACGCUGGCGGCAGGCCUAACACAUGCAAGUCGAGCGGAUGAAGGGAGCUUGCUCCUGGAUUCAGCGGCGGACGGGUGAGUAAUGCCUAGGAAUCUGCCUGGUAGUGGGGGAUAACGUCCGGAAACGGGCGCUAAUACCGCAUACGUCCUGAGGGAGAAAGUGGGGGAUCUUCGGACCUCACGCUAUCAGAUGAGCCUAGGUCGGAUUAGCUAGUUGGUGGGGUAAAGGCCUACCAAGGCGACGAUCCGUAACUGGUCUGAGUGAAUGAUCAGUCACACUGGAACUGAGACACGGUCCAGACUCCUACGGGAGGCAGCAGUGGGGAAUAUUGGACAAUGGGCGAAAGCCUGAUCCAGCCAUGCCGCGUGUGUGAAGAAGGUCUUCGGAUUGUAAAGCACUUUAAGUUGGGAGGAAGGGCAGUAAGUUAAUACCUUGCUGUUUUGACGUUACCAACAGAAUAAGCACCGGCUAACUUCGUG
RNAcentral lists this ribosomal RNA (484 nucleotides) under uncultured bacterium. Its description in RNAcentral is "partial 16S ribosomal RNA". It matches the Rfam family "Bacterial small subunit ribosomal RNA", at positions 30 to 507 of the family's 1533-position model. The record is from RNAcentral.